AGCAGCCGCGGUAAUUCCAGCUCCAAUAGCGUAUAUUAAAGUUGUUGCAGUUAAAAAGCCCGUAGUUGAAUUUCGGGGUCAGUAGGUCGGUCGUGCCACUGGUAUGAACUGGUUUUACUGAUUCCUCCCUCUUGAAGAACUGUAAUGCCAUUAAUUUGGUGUUGCAGGGAAUCAGGACUGUUACUUUGAAAAAAUUGAGUGUUUAAAGCAGGCUUUAGCUUGAAUACAUUAGCAUGGAAUAAUGAAAUAGGACGUUUGAUCCUAUUUUGUUGGUUUCUAGGAUUGACGUAAUGAUUAAUAGGGAUAGUUGGGGGCAUUAGUAUUCAAUUGUCAGAGGUGAAAUUCUUGGAUUUAUUGAAGACUAAUACUGCGAAAGCAUUUGCCAAGGAUGUUUUCAUUUAAUCAAGAACGAAAGUUAGGGGAUCGUAAGACGAUCAGAUACCGUCGUAGUCUUAACCAUAACUAUGCCGAUAGGGAUCGGAUGAAUGUUUAACUUUUUAAUGUAACUCAGUUCGGCGUACCUUACGGGAAACCAAAGGUUGGUUUAC
Molecule: ribosomal RNA, 548 nt
Filed under: uncultured Entrophospora
Lineage: Eukaryota; Fungi; Glomeromycota; Glomeromycetes; Entrophosporales; Entrophosporaceae
Description: SSU rRNA
Rfam family: Eukaryotic small subunit ribosomal RNA
Source: RNAcentral